GUACGCGGUGGCUGAAAAUCACUCCAGGUAUGAUUUUUUUUAUAUUUUUUUUGCUGUAUUUUACACGGUGGCCGGAAAUCACUCCAGGUAUGAUUUUUUUUAAUAUUUUUUUUGCUAUAUUUUAGUGCUUAUGAAUAUGUAUGUAUAUAUUAUUUUUAGUGUAAAUCAAACGAAAAAAAUAUUUAGAAAAUAGAUCCGAAAGAGAAUAGUUAAACCUUGCCUUGCGCUUCUUUGAACUCCGUUCGAUUUUUCGUUGCAACUUUAUGCCUAUGUUUUCGAUCUGUUUUUGUUUUUUGGUCUAAUGUUGCUUAUUAUUUUUACUGAAAAAUGCCCGAGUGACUACAUGGUUUUUAGAUUUGGCUUUUAAAUAGCCAUUACAUUUCUUUGUUUUGCUUUAUGUCACUUCCCGUUUAAUGCUUGCAGGAGCGCAACUUGGACGACAGUGGGGCGGUGCUGUAGGCGUCGGUGGAUGGGACAGGGGUCAGAGGCUGAACGGCUAGGGUUUUAGAUUUUCUUUCAUUUUUCUUUUUCUAUUUUGUGUUUGGGCCAUGUGGGUUUAGUGGGUUUUGGGUAGGUUAUUUGUGUUGGGUUUGGGAUUUUGUUAGGUUUAGUGGGUUGUUUAGUGGGUAUUUAGGGGUUAGUGGGUUUUAUUUGGGCCCCAAAAUUGGGCUGUACAGCUGCCCCUCUUUGCUUGUUGUCGUGUAAUGAGAACAAACCAAAGACUUAAGAAAGACCAAUUUUGCCCGGUCGCUGAGUCUUGACUUCUUUGGUGCUCUUAUUCUUCAGGUAGCUUCAUUCCAGUCUACUGCGGCUCGUCACUUUACUCCGCUCCAUUGCAACUUCGGAGAAACAAGACUUGUGAUUUGUAGUCUCAAUCUGUUCCUUCGCAACUUCAAG
RNAcentral lists this long non-coding RNA (897 nucleotides) under Gossypium barbadense (sea-island cotton). RNAcentral's name for it is "long non-coding RNA (GBAR_LNC002184)". Lineage: Eukaryota; Viridiplantae; Streptophyta; Magnoliopsida; Malvales; Malvaceae. The record is from RNAcentral.